ACUGCUCAGUAACACGUGGCUAACCUACCCUCAGGACGAGGACAACCCCGGGAAACUGGGACUAAUACUCGAUAGGCGAGGAGGCCUGGAAUGGUUUCUCACCUAAAGGGCUUUGGAAACAUGCUUUCAAUGUCGCCUGAGGAUGGGGCCGCGUCCGAUCAGGUUGUUGGUGAGGUAAUGGCUCACCAAGCCUAUAACCGGUACGGGCCGUGAGAGCGGUAGCCCGGAGAUGGGUACUGAGACAAGGACCCAGGCCCUACGGGGCGCAGCAGUCGCGAAAACUCCGCAAUGCACGAAAGUGUGACGGGGCUACCCCGAGUGCUCUCCGCUGAGGAAAGCUUUUCCCUGGUGUAACUAGCCGGGGGAAUAAGGAGAGGGCAAGACUGGUGUCAGCCGCCGCGGUAAUACCAGCUCUCCGAGUGGUAGGGAUGAUUAUUGGGCUUAAAGCGUCCGUAGCCGGCUUAGCAAGUUUCCUGUUAAACCCAGCGACUCAAUCGUUGGAUCGCGGGAAAUACUACUAGGCUAGGAGGCGGGAGAGGUCGACGGUACUUCUGGGGUAGGGGUGAAAUCCUAUAAUCCCGGGAGGACCACCAGUGGCGAAGGCUGUCGACUAGAACGCGCUCGACGGUGAGGGACGAAAGCUGGGGGAGCGAACCGGAUUAGAUACCCGGGUAGUCCCAGCCGUAAACGAUGCGAGCUAGGUGUUGGGUUGGCCACGAGCCACCCCAGUGCCGCAGGGAAGCCGUUAAGCAUGCCGCCUGGGAAGUACGAUCGCAAGAUUGAAACUUAAAGGAAUUGGCGGGGGAGCAC
This 810-nucleotide ribosomal RNA is filed under the name uncultured archaeon. RNAcentral's name for it is "bacterial SSU rRNA". It matches the Rfam family "Archaeal small subunit ribosomal RNA", at positions 85 to 879 of the family's 1478-position model. The record is from RNAcentral.